This 255-nucleotide ribosomal RNA is filed under the name Burkholderia sp. BE24. RNAcentral's name for it is "partial 16S ribosomal RNA". It matches the Rfam family "Bacterial small subunit ribosomal RNA", at positions 58 to 313 of the family's 1533-position model. The record is from RNAcentral. RNAcentral also lists the same sequence under 1 other name. Lineage: Bacteria; Pseudomonadati; Pseudomonadota; Betaproteobacteria; Burkholderiales; Burkholderiaceae.
CAAGUCGAACGGCAGCACGGGUGCUUGCACCUGGUGGCGAGUGGCGAACGGGUGAGUAAUACAUCGGAACAUGUCCUGUAGUGGGGGAUAGCCCGGCGAAAGCCGGAUUAAUACCGCAUACGAUCCAUGGAUGAAAGCGGGGGACCUUCGGGCCUCGCGCUAUAGGGUUGGCCGAUGGCUGAUUAGCUAGUUGGUGGGGUAAAGGCCUACCAAGGCGACGAUCAGUAGCUGGUCUGAGAGGACGACCAGCCACAC